AACGAACGCUGGCGGCAUGCCUAACACAUGCAAGUCGAACGAGACCUUCGGGUCUAUUUGCGCACGUGUGCGUAACGCGUGGGAACCUGCCCUUAGGUUCGGAAUAACUCCCCUAAAGGGGUGCUAAUACCGGAUAAUCUCUUCGGACCAAAGAUUUAUCGCCUUUGGAUGGGCCCGCGUUGGAUUAGCUGGUUGGUAGGGUAAAAGCCUACCAAGGAGACGAUCCAUAGCUGGUCUGAGAGGAUGAUACGCCACACUGGGACUGAGACACGGCCCAGAAUCCUACGGGAGGCAGCAGUGGGGAAUAUUGGACAAUGGGCGAAAGCGUGAUAAAGCAAUGCCGCGUGAGUGAUGAAGGCCUUAGGGUUGUAAAGCUCUUUUAGCCGGGAUGAUAAUGACAGUACCGGGAGAAUAAGCUCCGGCUAACUCCGUG
Molecule: ribosomal RNA, 433 nt
Filed under: uncultured bacterium
Lineage: Bacteria
Description: partial 16S ribosomal RNA
Rfam family: Bacterial small subunit ribosomal RNA
Source: RNAcentral